Long non-coding RNA from Arvicanthis niloticus (Nile rat), 864 nucleotides. RefSeq lists it as uncharacterized. NCBI's taxonomy places the organism in Eukaryota, Metazoa, Chordata, Mammalia, Rodentia, Muridae. The record is from RefSeq and is a predicted model, not a curated record.
UACUGUUCUCUGGCUUGCUCUGUCUCUUCUCCAAGAAAGACAUAUGCACAUGCCACAUAGUCAGCAGUUUGGUUUUGCCAUUUGGCUCUUUGCUAUUUUAAGGAGUUCCUACAAGGAUCUUGAACAAAAAGUACGAAGUUUAGACCUCUUUUAUAAAAAAGAGAUGCUUUAGCUGAUAAGUGGCAAAUCAUUUGUUGCAAAAUGAAAUGUUCCUUAAGAGAAGAUCCUGGAUUCAUAUUCAGAUCUGCUUGACACCCACCUCUGGCUUUAUGAACUUUACACAUAAUCUGAAAGCUUGAGGAGGCUUGUGAGAAAUGUUUGAGUUGGUCUUGGAACUCUUGUUCUCAGGCUACAGGAUUGAGGACCCUGUAUGAAACAUGGGAAAGCCUGGAAAACAGUGUGGGAAAACAUUCUUGGCAACAAAAAGUGCAUAAAUGGUGAACUCUGGUGAGUUAUACAUUACCCUCUCUUGUCAUUUACAUUCAUCUUGAGAACUGGAUGACUCUUGUCAUCUAGCUCCUGCAUUUCCAUGUCUCCUGAGAUAAGUUAAUUGGUAGAACUAGCCACCAGUAUUUAAAGUCCUCUGCAAGGAAAUGACCCCUCUGUUCUGCCACCUCCAACCUACCAUGAAGAACUGAACCUUCUGAAAUGAUUGCCACACACAUCUUAACAGAAAACCCAUAGAGGAGCUUAACAUGGUUGCCGUCUGAGAGGCCCAACAAGACCCGAAGUCAGAUGCAGAUAUUAAUACUCAACCAAUGGAAAGAAGCCGGGAACUCCUGUAUUUGAAUUGAGCAAAAGCUGGCAAGCCCCAUUGGAAGACCAGCAGUCUCAACUGACCUGGACCCCUAAGAUCUCUCAGAC